Molecule: ribosomal RNA, 777 nt
Filed under: fungal sp.
Lineage: Eukaryota; Fungi
Description: eukaryotic LSU rRNA
Rfam family: Eukaryotic large subunit ribosomal RNA (bases 454-777)
Source: RNAcentral
CUGCGGAGGGAUCAUUACAGAGUUCUCGCCCCACCGGGUAGAUCUCCCACCCACUGUUAUCGUUACCGUCGUUGCUUUGGCGGGCCGCUAGGCUCGCCAGAGGCCCUACAAACUCUGAAUGUCAGUGUCGUCUGAGUACUAUACAAUAGUUAAAACUUUCAACAACGGAUCUCUUGGUUCUGGCAUCGAUGAAGAACGCAGCGAAAUGCGAUAAGUAAUGCGAAUUGCAGAAUUCAGUGAGUCAUCGAAUCUUUGAACGCACAUUGCGCCCUGUGGUAUUCCGCAGGGCAUGCCUGUUCGAGCGUCAUUUCAACCCUCAAGCUCUGCUUGGUGUUGGGCCACGCCCCCGCGGCCGGCCCCAAAGCCAGUGGCGGCGCCGUCCGGCUCUAAGCGUAGUACACCUCUCGCUCUAGGGCCCCGCGGUUGCCUGCCAGAACCCUAUACUCUUAUGGUUGACCUCGGAUCAGGUAGGGAUACCCGCUGAACUUAAGCAUAUCAAUAAGCGGAGGAAAAGAAACCAACAGGGAUUGCCUCAGUAACGGCGAGUGAAGCGGCAACAGCUCAAAUUUGAAAUCUGGCCCUCUCAGGGUCCGAGUUGUAAUUUGGAGAAGAUGCUUCGGGUGUGGCCCCGGUCUAAGUUCCUUGGAACAGGACGUCACAGAGGGUGAGAAUCCCGUACGUGACCGGUGGCCUCCCCCGUGUGAAGCUCUUUCGACGAGUCGAGUUGUUUGGGAAUGCAGCUCAAAAUGGGUGGUAAAUUUCAUCUAAAGCUAAAUA